Molecule: ribosomal RNA, 447 nt
Filed under: uncultured bacterium
Lineage: Bacteria
Description: bacterial SSU rRNA
Rfam family: Bacterial small subunit ribosomal RNA
Source: RNAcentral
UCGGGAAUUUUGGGCAAUGGGCGAAAGCCUGACCCAGCAACGCCGCGUGAAGGAUGAAGUAUUUCGGUAUGUAAACUUCGAAAGAAUAGGAAGAAUAAAUGACGGUACUAUUUAUAAGGUCCGGCUAACUACGUGCCAGCAGCCGCGGUAAUACGUAGGGACCAAGCGUUGUUCGGAUUUACUGGGCGUAAAGGGCGCGUAGGCGGCAAUUCAAGUCAUCUGUGAAAUCUCCGGGCUUAACUCGGAACGGUCAGAUGAUACUGCUUUGCUAGAGUGCAGAAGGGGCAAUCGGAAUUCUCGGUGUAGCGGUGAAAUGCGUAGAUAUCAAGAGGAACACCUGAGGUGAAGACGGGUUGCUGGGCUGACACUGACGCUGAGGCGCGAAAGCCAGGGGAGCAAACGGGAUUAGAUACCCCUGUAGUCCCUGAGCGGGCUGGCAAGGCGCAU